UGGACGAGAGUCUGAACCAGCCAAAUCGCGUGAAGGAAGACUGCCUUAUGGGUUGUAAACUUCUUUUAUACAGGAAUAAAAAGAGUUACGUGUAACUUAUUGCAUGUACUGUAUGAAUAAGCAUCGGCUAACUCCGUGCCAGCAGCCGCGGUAAUACGGAGGAUGCGAGCGUUAUCCGGAUUUAUUGGGUUUAAAGGGUGCGCAGGCGGGAUCUUAAGUCAGCGGUGAAAUUUUCAGGCUCAACCUGAACACUGCCGUUGAAACUGGGAUUCUUGAGUAUAGAUGAAGUAGGCGGAAUUCGUUGUGUAGCGGUGACAUGCUUAGAUAUAACGAGGAACUCCAAUUGCGUAGGCAGCUUACUAAGCUAUAACUGACGCUCAAGCACGAAAGCGUGGGGAUCAAACAGGAUUAGAUACCCUGGUAGUCCACGCCGUAAACGAUGAUUACUAGUUGUUUGUGAUAUAUUAUAAGUGACUAAGCGAAAGCGAUAAGUAAUCCACCUGGGGAGUA
Molecule: ribosomal RNA, 510 nt
Filed under: uncultured bacterium
Lineage: Bacteria
Description: bacterial SSU rRNA
Rfam family: Bacterial small subunit ribosomal RNA
Source: RNAcentral